Molecule: long non-coding RNA, 1185 nt
Filed under: Ananas comosus (pineapple)
Lineage: Eukaryota; Viridiplantae; Streptophyta; Magnoliopsida; Poales; Bromeliaceae
Description: long non-coding RNA (ACOM_LNC024553)
Source: RNAcentral
AGCUUUCCAAAUCCAAAUCCAAACCCGAUUAUCAAAUCCGAAAUUCGAACAUAAUUCGAAUUCGAAUCCAACAAAAUUUUAAAAAUUCAUAUUGAAAUCUGAAUCCCCCGAACCAAAAAUCCGAAUCCGAAAUAAUUCUUUUUUUUACCAUAUUUUAAAACAUAUUAUAUCAUAUCUAAAUUUUAAAAUACAAAUUCAAAUAUAAUAUUAUAGAGAGAGAGAGAGUUGGGCUUCUAUACUAUUUAUAGUAUUAAAAAUCCUGUUCUAUAAUGUUUUAAACGUUUAGGAUCAUUUUUGAGAUUCGUGUAAUCUUAGGAGGGAGAAUCUCAACAUUAGUUUUCUUUUCUCAUCUCUCUAUCUUUCUCUCUCUCCUACGGGUGGAAAGGAGCCGAGCUCAAGCGAGCUUACUUCGGCUUAAAUUCAGUUUGAAAUUAAUUUCGAACCUAAAUUUAAGCUCAAGCUUGGUUUGAAAUUAAUUCGAGCCGAGCUCGAGCGAGCCUAAUUUUGAGUUGAGCGAGCUGAAGCCUUAAACGAGCCGUUUGAAAUUAUCAAUAUAGUACGAUCAACAGUUUAAUUUGUAUAGAACAUUAUCUAUAAUUUAAUACAAAAAUAAAUCUAAUAGUUCAAAGUGCAAAAUAAUUAUAUGAAAUAGGGCAUUAUAAUAUAAAGAAAAAUAACUUAUGAGUUGAAUAUCUAAUAUUUUCAGCCUCACAUGUCUUCUCUUUCGCUUUUAAUAUUUAUAUUAUUCUUUUUCAUUUAUGCGACUAAAAAAUAAAUAAAUUAUAUAGGCAAAUGUUGGAUUAAACUAUCCAAUGAUAUAUAACUAAAAUCAAAAUUUUAUAUAAACAAUAAUUUUUACUUUAAAAAUAUUAUGUAUAUUUUCUCAAACACACAAUUAAUGACAAGGUAGGCAACGACGUGUGUGUCUUGUUACUUGAUAACUCGGGGAACUUAAAGGCUUGACCACUUGGGGUAAGAGACAAAGAAAAAGAGAAAGAGAAAGAGAGAGAGAGAGAGAGAGAGAGAGAGAUUAGAAAUUUCGAAUAUGUGAAAGAAAGAAAGGGAGAAAGUAUAAAUUUAGUGAAAUUUUGCAUUUUUAUUUAUCUAUUGGGUUUAUUUUUAUGGACCAAUAAUAUUGGCCAAAUUUUAACUAAACUCAGGUUACUCAUUCAGCCUAUAUAUAAU